Molecule: ribosomal RNA, 312 nt
Filed under: Triticum aestivum (bread wheat)
Lineage: Eukaryota; Viridiplantae; Streptophyta; Magnoliopsida; Poales; Poaceae
Description: partial small subunit ribosomal RNA
Source: RNAcentral
AUGAAGGGAAGUCGGCCAGCUAUUAAGUCAAAGAAGUCAUCAACCUAUUACCGCCAUCAUGAAGUUGUCGUCAUUGACGUAGAGUCCUCCAUUCUCACACCACUCUCGAGCACUCAUACCAACCCCGUCUACUAUAGCAUAGCAUUGAAACAAAACAACAUACCGGGUAACAGGGAGAUGGGUUCCUACCUCAGGCAUUCUAAUCAACUACAAGAUUCAAUAACACUACUGGAGGGAUUGUUGAAAUGGGGCUACUACAUGCAAAUAAAACAUACAUAUGAAAAACAUGGUCAAAGUGAACUUGCAUGGUAA